CUGAAAUGAAGGGAUGAAUUAGGUAAAUCUGAAUGUAUAUCAGUUGUUUGGAGUUCAGAAUUUUCCAGAAUGUGCCUAGCUUAUGUGGCCAUAAACAAGAUAUGUGUGUAUGAGCAUCCAAAUCACACAAAUGACUUCAAAUAAAGCUGAUAGACCUUCUAGAGACAGGAAGUAGCACACCGCAUGCCAGCAGACUAUAGAAGGAGAGGAUACAUCAGUAUGCUUAAUAGAAAACAG
Molecule: long non-coding RNA, 237 nt
Filed under: Capra hircus (goat)
Lineage: Eukaryota; Metazoa; Chordata; Mammalia; Artiodactyla; Bovidae
Description: lncRNA (ENSCHIG00000007478.1)
Source: RNAcentral